CUUAGUGAGAUAAGAUUCUGUCUGAAAUCAGGUAUGUAUCGAACCUCGUCCAAUCUCCUCACUGCACCAUUAUGUGUCCUCCAGCUGACUAUUUCGGUGCCCUUGAUCGCAUAGCUCGAUCCGUCCAGUAGACGAACAGUGCCCUCACUGCUCUUCAGAGAGUCAAACAGGUCCUCUCUGCAACAAACACAAUGAAUGUAUGCAGAAUCUAAGAUCUACUGCUGAA
Molecule: long non-coding RNA, 226 nt
Filed under: Elaeis guineensis (African oil palm)
Lineage: Eukaryota; Viridiplantae; Streptophyta; Magnoliopsida; Arecales; Arecaceae
Description: long non-coding RNA (EGUI_LNC033058)
Source: RNAcentral